GCCGAGUCUGAGGAAAUUUGGCCUCGUUUUCCUAGGGCUGGUGAAUGAGCUCCGGAGGUCAAUAAAGCCCUCCAAAAAUGAUGAAUGAUUGAGCACCUGUGAUGAUGAUAGUGAUUACCAGAGCAAUUAAACAGUUUGAUUAAAUGAGCCAUCAUAACAAUGAUGUCUGCGGGAAAUCGGCCCUCACAUAUAAAGACAGUGUGGAGGAGCUGGCAGAGGCACGGAGAGCGCGCCGGGAGAGGGGCUGCGGCCCGUGCGGGUUUGGCUCCAGUGGCCAAAGCAGGGAAGGCGGGCUUGGGGACCUUCUGGGAGCACAGUUCAGCCAAGGGUUUCCGUCUCUCUUUCUGUCCGGCUACAAGCCUAAGACAGCGGACCAGUCUGGAACCCGGACUGUAGGGUCCUCCCCCCGCCCCCACCACUUUUUUCCUCCCUAGAAGAACUUCAAGAUUACAAAUAUCCGUCUCAUUUGAUGCUGAGUUACUCGUCGACGGAUAAGAAAAGGAACGCCAGUUUCCGAGAUAAAUGCUUCUUUUGUCAAGAACAACUUCGUGAGAAGCCUCCGCAUCUUCCUCUAAGCAUGCUUAGCGCUUUAUUCCCACACCGCUACGGCGUCCCCCCCCCGCCCCCUUGAUAUUGUAAAGCGAUUUAGUUUCCCUGUAGCCUUUAUUUAGUAAAACUUCUUAGCAUUAAAAAAAAGGCAGUAAUAAAGUUUCUCCCUGAGU
RNAcentral lists this long non-coding RNA (722 nucleotides) under Rattus norvegicus (Norway rat). Its description in RNAcentral is "long non-coding RNA NONRATT018462". The record is from RNAcentral. Lineage: Eukaryota; Metazoa; Chordata; Mammalia; Rodentia; Muridae.